GGGACUGCGGUGUGCGUGGUGCGCUCGUUGGACUGAAAAUCCAAAGGUGAACGUUCGACUCGUUCCAGUCCCA
RNAcentral lists this transfer RNA (73 nucleotides) under Caudoviricetes sp. RNAcentral describes it as "tRNA-Phe". It matches the Rfam family "tRNA". From Rfam's summary of the family: Transfer RNA (tRNA) molecules are approximately 80 nucleotides in length. Their secondary structure includes four short double-helical elements and three loops (D, anti-codon, and T loops). Further hydrogen bonds mediate the characteristic L-shaped molecular structure. tRNAs have two regions of fundamental functional importance: the anti-codon, which is responsible for specific mRNA codon recognition, and the 3' end, to which the tRNAs corresponding amino acid is attached (by aminoacyl-tRNA synthetases). tRNAs cope with the degeneracy of the genetic code in two manners: having more than one tRNA (with a specific anti-codon) for a particular amino acid; and 'wobble' base-pairing, i.e. permitting non-standard base-pairing at the 3rd anti-codon position. The record is from RNAcentral. Lineage: Duplodnaviria; Heunggongvirae; Uroviricota; Caudoviricetes.